ACGGAGGGUGCAAGCGUUAUCCGGAAUCACUGGGUAUAAAGGGUGCGUAGGCGGCUUGUUAAGUCAGGAGUGAAAGGCCAUAGCUUAACUAUGGGAUUGCUUUUGAUACUGGCGAGCUUGGAUUAGGACGAGGUUGGCGGAAUGUGACAAGUAGCGGUGAAAUGCAUAGAUAUGUCAUAGAAUACCGAUUGCGAAGGCAGCUGACUAGACCUAUAUUGACGCUGAGGCACGAAAGCGUGGGGAGCGAACAGGAUUAGAUACCCUGGUAGUCCACGCCCUAAACGAUGCUAACUCGAUGUUCGGCCGUAAGGCGGAGCAUCCAAGCAAAUGCGAUAAGUUAGCCACCUGGGGAGUACGCCCGCAAGGGUG
RNAcentral lists this ribosomal RNA (369 nucleotides) under uncultured bacterium. RNAcentral describes it as "bacterial SSU rRNA". It matches the Rfam family "Bacterial small subunit ribosomal RNA", at positions 525 to 896 of the family's 1533-position model. The record is from RNAcentral.